UUGGGGCGUCGUCUAAUGGCAGGACGGAGGAUUUUGGUUCCUCCAAUCGGGGUUCGACUCCCUGCGCCCCAGU
This 73-nucleotide transfer RNA is filed under the name subsurface metagenome. RNAcentral describes it as "tRNA-Gln". It matches the Rfam family "tRNA". Rfam says of the family: Transfer RNA (tRNA) molecules are approximately 80 nucleotides in length. Their secondary structure includes four short double-helical elements and three loops (D, anti-codon, and T loops). The record is from RNAcentral.